AAUUUUCGGCAAUGGGGGCAACCCUGACCGAGCGACGCCGCGUGAGUGAAGAAGGNCUNNGGAUUNUNAAGCUCUGUUGUAAGNNNNNAACCGUACCAGAAGGGAAUGACUGGUACCUGACGGUACCUUACCAGCAAGCCACGGCUAACUACGUGCCAGCAGCCGCGGUAAUACGUAGGGGGCAAGCGUUGUCCGGAAUUAUUGGGCGUAAAGGGUGCGUAGGCGGCUUUUUAAGUCAGAUGUGAAAGACCACGGCUUAACCGUGGGGUUGCAUUUGAAACUGGAAGGCUUGAGUAUCGGAGAGGGUAGUGGAAUUCCCAGUGUAGCGGUGAAAUGCGUAGAUAUUGGGAGGAACACCAGUGGCGAAGGCGACUACCUGGACGAAAACUGACGCUGAUGCACGAAAGCUAGGGGAGCAAAC
This 421-nucleotide ribosomal RNA is filed under the name uncultured bacterium. Its description in RNAcentral is "partial 16S ribosomal RNA". It matches the Rfam family "Bacterial small subunit ribosomal RNA", at positions 360 to 773 of the family's 1533-position model. The record is from RNAcentral.